This 253-nucleotide ribosomal RNA is filed under the name uncultured bacterium. RNAcentral's name for it is "partial 16S ribosomal RNA". It matches the Rfam family "Bacterial small subunit ribosomal RNA", at positions 524 to 776 of the family's 1533-position model. The record is from RNAcentral.
UACGGGGGGGGCAAGCGUUGUUCGGAAUUACUGGGCGUAAAGGGCUCGUAGGCGGCCAACUAAGUCAGACGUGAAAUCCCUCAGCUUAACUGGGGAACUGCGUCUGAUACUGGAUGGCUUGGAUUCGGGAGAGGGAUGCGGAAUUCCAGGUGUAGCGGUGAAAUGCGUAGAUAUCUGGAGGAACACCGGUGGCGAAGGCGGCAUCCUGGACCGAUAUUGACGCUGAGGAGCGAAAGCCAGGGGAGCAAACGGG